Molecule: ribosomal RNA, 319 nt
Filed under: uncultured eukaryote
Lineage: Eukaryota
Description: partial 18S ribosomal RNA
Rfam family: Eukaryotic small subunit ribosomal RNA
Source: RNAcentral
CCCUUAGAUGUUCUGGGCCGCACGCGCGCUACACUGAUGCAUUCAACAAGCCUAGCCUUGACCGAGAGGUCCGGGUAAUCUUUGAAACUGCAUCGUGAUGGGGCUAGAUUAUUGCAAUUAUUAAUCUUCAACGAGGAAUGCCUAGUAAGCGUGAUUCAUCAAAUCGCGUUGAUUACGUCCCUGCCCUUUGUACACACCGCCCGUCGCUCCUACCGAUUGAAUGGUCCGGUGAAAUCUCGGGACGGCGGCUUGGUCGCUUGCGUCCGACUGCUGAAACUUGAUUAAACCAUAUCAUUUAGAGGAAGGUGAAGUCGUANCA